UGGCUCAGUGGUAGAGUGCUUGCCUUGCAUGCAUGAGGCCUUGGGUUCGAUUCCUUA
RNAcentral lists this transfer RNA (57 nucleotides) under Dipodomys ordii (Ord's kangaroo rat). It matches the Rfam family "tRNA", at positions 8 to 63 of the family's 71-position model. Rfam says of the family: Transfer RNA (tRNA) molecules are approximately 80 nucleotides in length. Their secondary structure includes four short double-helical elements and three loops (D, anti-codon, and T loops). Further hydrogen bonds mediate the characteristic L-shaped molecular structure. tRNAs have two regions of fundamental functional importance: the anti-codon, which is responsible for specific mRNA codon recognition, and the 3' end, to which the tRNAs corresponding amino acid is attached (by aminoacyl-tRNA synthetases). tRNAs cope with the degeneracy of the genetic code in two manners: having more than one tRNA (with a specific anti-codon) for a particular amino acid; and 'wobble' base-pairing, i.e. permitting non-standard base-pairing at the 3rd anti-codon position. Lineage: Eukaryota; Metazoa; Chordata; Mammalia; Rodentia; Heteromyidae. The record is from Rfam by way of RNAcentral.